GACGAACCGUGCGAACGUUGUUCGGAUUCACUGGGCUUAAAGGGCGCGUAGGCGGUACGCCAAGUCUGGGGUGAAAUCUUUCGGCUCAACCGGAAAAUUGCCUGGGAUACUGGCGUGCUCGAGGGAGGUAGGGGCAGCGGGAACUGCCAGUGGAGCGGUGAAAUGCGUUGAUAUUGGCAGGAACGCCGGUGGCGAAAGCGCGCUGCUGGACCUCUUCUGACGCUGAGGCGCGACAGCUAGGGGAGCAAACGGG
RNAcentral lists this ribosomal RNA (253 nucleotides) under uncultured bacterium. Its description in RNAcentral is "partial 16S ribosomal RNA". It matches the Rfam family "Bacterial small subunit ribosomal RNA", at positions 524 to 776 of the family's 1533-position model. The record is from RNAcentral.